GACGAACGCUGGCGGCGUGCUUAACACAUGCAAGUCGAACGAAGAGCGAUGGAAGCUUGCUUCUAUCAAUCUUAGUGGCGAACGGGUGAGUAACGCGUAAUCAACCUGCCCUUCAGAGGGGGACAACAGUUGGAAACGACUGCUAAUACCGCAUACGAUCCAAUCUCGGCAUCGGGACUGGAUGAAAGGUGGCCUCUAUUUAUAAGCUAUCACUGAAGGAGGGGAUUGCGUCUGAUUAGCUAGUUGGAGGGGUAACGGCCCACCAAGGCGAUGAUCAGUAGCCGGUCUGAGAGGAUGAACGGCCACAUUGGGACUGAGACACGGCCCAGACUCCUACGGGAGGCAGCAGUGGGGAAUCUUCCGCAAUGGACGAAAGUCUGACGGAGCAACGCCGCGGGAGUGAUGACGGCCUUCGGGUUGUAAAGCUCUGUUAAUCGGGACGAAUGGUUCUUGUGCGAAUAGGGCGAGGAUUUGACGGUACCGGAAGAGAAAGCCACGGCUAACUACGUG
This 510-nucleotide ribosomal RNA is filed under the name uncultured bacterium. RNAcentral's name for it is "partial 16S ribosomal RNA". It matches the Rfam family "Bacterial small subunit ribosomal RNA", at positions 28 to 507 of the family's 1533-position model. The record is from RNAcentral.